Molecule: ribosomal RNA, 485 nt
Filed under: uncultured bacterium
Lineage: Bacteria
Description: partial 16S ribosomal RNA
Rfam family: Bacterial small subunit ribosomal RNA
Source: RNAcentral
AUGGAACGCUGGCGGCAGGCCUAACACAUGCAAGUCGAGCGGAUGAAGGGAGCUUGCUCCUGGAUUCAGCGGCGGACGGGUGAGUAAUGCCUAGGAAUCUGCCUGGGAGUGGGGGAUAACGUCCGGAAACGGGCGCUAAUACCGCAUACGUCCUGAGGGAGAAAGUGGGGGAUCUUCGGACCUCACGCUAUCAGAUGAGCCUAGGUCGGAUUAGCUAGUUGGUGGGGUAAAGGCAUACCAAGGCGACGAUCCGUAACUGGUCUGAGAGGAUGAUCAGUCACACUGGAACUGAGACACGGUCCAGACUCCUACGGGAGGCAGCAGUGGGGAAUAUUGGACAAUGGGCGAAAGCCUGAUCCAGCCAAUGCCGCGUGUGUGAAGAAGGUCUUCGGAUUGUAAAGCACUUUAAGUUGGGAGGAAGGGCAGUAAGUUAAUACCUUGCUGUUUUGACGUUACCAACAGAAUAAGCCCCGGCUAACUUCGUG